UAAAUAGAAACUUGGACCGAUUCGGGCGGAAUGGCGCGGACUCUGGCGGCGCGUCGCUUCGGCGGCGUGUCCGUCCGGGCACCGGCCGUCCGCUCGUCCUUGGACUACUUCUUAGAGGGACUGCCGGUGUUGCAACCGGAGGAAGUUUGAGGCAAUAACAGGUCUGUGAUGCCCUUAGAUGUUCUGGGCCGCACGCGCGCUACACUGACGGAGCCAGCGAGUACUGGCGCACGCCAACCUUGGCCGAAAGG
This 251-nucleotide ribosomal RNA is filed under the name Zoopagales sp. RNAcentral describes it as "partial small subunit ribosomal RNA". It matches the Rfam family "Eukaryotic small subunit ribosomal RNA", at positions 1352 to 1540 of the family's 1831-position model. Lineage: Eukaryota; Fungi; Zoopagomycota; Zoopagomycetes; Zoopagales. The record is from RNAcentral.